This is a long non-coding RNA of Suricata suricatta (meerkat), 598 nucleotides long. RefSeq lists it as uncharacterized. The transcript is spliced from 4 exons. The record is from RefSeq and is a predicted model, not a curated record. Lineage: Eukaryota; Metazoa; Chordata; Mammalia; Carnivora; Herpestidae.
AGAACCGUUUGGAUGUUAAAGUUUGAGAUGCAUUGUCAGUUCUUCCUUUCAGAUCCUUUCCAAAUUGAUGGUCUCAAGGCAAGAGCUAACAGUGAGGUAAUCUGCAUACAUAAAUUGUAUAGCAGACGGUAUCUGGUGCCACCUGAGUAAAAGGCUGGUUUUCUAGCACAGGAGAAACUAUCGACAAAAAAAACUGCCCAAAUGAGUGACUACAGGAAAUACUCUUCCUACUCAACUUACGAAUGAAAGCAUUAUACAACUUAAAAACUCCAAAAAAAACUAGAAGAAAGAAAAGGAGAGAAUGCUUAUAUGUGUGGUUUUAAAACAUGCCCAAUAAUACGUCAUUAUUUCUUGAACAAAGGAAGGAUGUCAUGAAGUAUGCAAAGAAUCAAGUUAUUGGAGAUCAAGCUAUUCCUACCACAUCUCAUCUAGUUCAGUCUACAUAGGAUACCAACUAUGCUACUGAGCUAAGCCACUUGAAACCUAGAAAUAGCCUGUACUCAUUAAUGUUGUAAAUAAAUGUUCUUAACACACCCUUUAAUCCAGAAACUCCUGAGCACUUUCUUCAAUAACCCACCGCCUCCAGUGGGAGAAAAAC